RNAcentral lists this transfer RNA (77 nucleotides) under Candidatus Aminicenantes bacterium RBG_13_59_9. Its description in RNAcentral is "tRNA-Lys". The record is from RNAcentral. Lineage: Bacteria; Candidatus Aminicenantota.
GGGAAAGGUUCGCGCUUAGAGCGGGAGACUCUUAAUCUGUGGGUUGUAGGUUCGAGUCCUACACGGGUCAUUUCCCA